UUGGCCUGAGAGCUACCAAUAUAGAUAAUAAACCAUCUGUGUUACUUACAGAGUAAUUAUGGAAACAGCUGUGAGACCACAAAAUACUCCUGCAGAAGUCAAUGGCUUGCAAUCAAGCUGUGAUACUCAUGAAGUCAUAGGAAAGGGAACACGUCACUGUCAAUAUAAUUCAUGUCAAGUCAUUAGCCAGGUGCUGCACAAAACUGCUGAAGAAAUUUGCUCUGGGAGCAGACCCUGGGGACCCUGAGCAGCUGCUGGUGAAGUGACAGCAAUGCAUGCAGCGUGGCAUCUGUGAGAAGGUGGGGAAGGAAGGAGGAGGCAGCAUGUUUUGCAAAUGUAACAAAGCAGCAGUUGGUCCUCCAGACAGCUUCAGGAAGCAGAGCAGCAGGCGGCAUAGCCGGGGGCCACCCAGGAGAGCGGAGUGGCACCAGGCACCGAGCCCCCGGCGCUCAGCGACCCUCAGUGCCGGGGUGACACUCGGGGGGGGGUUCAGGUGGGAUGUGAGGGCUUUGUUUCUGCUUGUGAUAAAUGCUUCACUAACAAAUUGGCAACAAUAGGAUAGGAUAGCAUAGCAUAGGAUAUCCAUAGGGAUAGGGUGGGANNNNNNNNNNNNNNNNNNNNNGGGAUGGGAUGGGAUGGGAUGGGAUGGGAUGGGAUGGGAUGGGAUGGGAUGGGAUGGGAUGGGAUGGGAUGGGAUGGGAUGGGAUGGGAUGGGAUAGCAGCGCUGUGCACAGAAGUACAGAGAAGAGCUGAUAAGCUAAAAAAGGGUGUCUAGACAAAGGCAGAUCUUUAUUAAUGACACCUCAGCUCCUGAACUACUGACUUGCCCCACAUGUGACUCUAAACAAGAACUAAAUGUUCUAACACAGUCGAAGAGCAGCCCAUUUUCCAGAUCUUUUGGAAAAAUCCCAGAGGUAAAAGCCUGAGGAGAGUGAGAAGGAUAAUGCUGAUGCCCAUACCUCCUUGGAGCUGCUGCUUCUCUGGCUGCUCAUUAUUUCUCUUUCACCUGUCGUGUUCUCAGAUGGUGGGUAAUGGGAAGGCUGUAGAGAGGCUAUUAACAAAUGACAGGUGAGUCUUUCACAUAACCUUUAAACGAAAAAGCCUGAAAGAAAAGAACUUAUAAGAAAAAGGUGGGGAGUGGUGUGCACAUUCUUCAGGAAUAGCUGCCGAAUGAAGCAGUUCUGCUUUGCAGGAUCAGUCUGCAUCCCCUGGCAUAUUCCUUCCUACAGAGAGCUGGGAGAAACUUAAAAUCCAAGGAAGGGGAGAGCUAUCUUCAUCUGGAGGGAUGUCAUCUGUGUCAAUAGCCUGCACUCCUGCUGCCAGGAUCACAGGGCAUCCACACAACCGCCUGCUGCUUAGCUCCACGAUGGGGUCCCAACGCGUGUGGCCGCUGCACCUGCUCACGGUGCAUCGCAGCCCAUGGUGGUGCCACGACCUUUGUGAGGAUGGCCAUUUCUCCGGUACCAUUGUUUACCUUUCCAUGGUAAACCUGGCUUUGCAAAGCACUUUAACAGGUUCCACCACAGAGAAGUGAUUGCACAACUCCAGCAGGGCAUU
This 1557-nucleotide long non-coding RNA is filed under the name Anser brachyrhynchus (Pink-footed goose). RNAcentral describes it as "lncRNA (ENSABRG00000023092.1)". The record is from RNAcentral. Lineage: Eukaryota; Metazoa; Chordata; Aves; Anseriformes; Anatidae.